Mycena epipterygia is the source of this 96-nucleotide non-coding RNA. Lineage: Eukaryota; Fungi; Basidiomycota; Agaricomycetes; Agaricales; Mycenaceae. The record is from the annotation of a GenBank genome assembly.
AGCACCGUAGCACAGCUGGAAGUGCGCCGGUCUCAUAUCUCGUCCCAACGAUUUAGAGAAAUCCGGAGGUCGCUUGAUCGAAACAAGCCGUUGCUA